GGCGGGACACGUGAUAUCCUGUCUGAAUAUGGGGGGACCAUCCUCCAAGGCUAAAUACUACUGACUGACCGAUAGUGAACCAGUACCGUGAGGGAAAGGCGAAAAGAACCCCUGUGAGGGGAGUGAAAUAGAACCUGAAACCGUGUACGUACAAGCAGUAGGAGCAGGCUUUGUCCUGUGACUGCGUACCUUUUGUAUAAUGGGUCAGCGACUUAUAUUCAGUGGCAAGGUUAACCAUCUAGGGGAGCCGUAGGGAAACCGAGUCUUAACUGGGCGUUCAGUCUCUGGAUAUAGACCCGAAACCAGGUGAUCUAGCCAUGGGCAGGUUGAAGGUUGAGUAACAUCAACUGGAGGACCGAACCGACUAAUGUUGAAAAAUUAGCGGAUGACUUGUGGCUAGGGGUGAAAGGCCAAUCAAACCUGGAGAUAGCUGGUUCUCCCCGAAAGCUAUUUAGGUAGCGCCUCGGACGAAUACUACUGGGGGUAGAGCACUGUUAAGGCUAGGGGGUCAUCCCGACUUACCAACCCUUUGCAAACUCCGAAUACCAGUAAGUACUAUCCGGGAGACACACGGCGGGUGCUAACGUCCGUCGUGGAGAGGGAAACAACCCAGACCGCCAGCUAAGGUCCCAAAUUACUACUAAGUGGGAAACGAUGUGGGAAGGCUCAGACAGCCAGGAUGUUGGCUUAGAAGCAGCCAUCAUUUAAAGAAAGCGUAAUAGCUCACUGGUCGAGUCGGCCUGCGCGGAAGAUGUAACGGGGCUAAGUA
RNAcentral lists this ribosomal RNA (769 nucleotides) under Vibrio parahaemolyticus. Its description in RNAcentral is "partial 23S ribosomal RNA". It matches the Rfam family "Bacterial large subunit ribosomal RNA", at positions 416 to 1188 of the family's 2925-position model. The record is from RNAcentral. Lineage: Bacteria; Pseudomonadati; Pseudomonadota; Gammaproteobacteria; Vibrionales; Vibrionaceae.